This 273-nucleotide ribosomal RNA is filed under the name uncultured bacterium. RNAcentral's name for it is "partial 16S ribosomal RNA". It matches the Rfam family "Bacterial small subunit ribosomal RNA", at positions 524 to 796 of the family's 1533-position model. The record is from RNAcentral.
UACGUAGGGCGCAAGCGUUGUCCGGAAUUAUUGGGCGUAAAGAGCUCGUAGGCGGCUUGUCACGUCGGGUGUGAAAGCCCGGGGCUUAACCCCGGGUCUGCAUUCGAUACGGGCUGGCUAGAGUGUGGUAGGGGAGAUCGGAAUUCCUGGUGUAGCGGUGAAAUGCGCAGAUAUCAGGAGGAACACCGGUGGCGAAGGCGGAUCUCUGGGCCAUUACUGACGCUGAGGAGCGAAAGCGUGGGGAGCGAACAGGAUUAGAAACCCCCGUAGUCC